AUUGGGUGAUAUGGGGGCCCGGCGGUGGAGUGUAGCAGGGAUUCGCCCUCGGGGCGGGGCCUGGAGGCUGGAGUUGGCCCCGCGCAGGGACCACGGAUAGGUGAGGCAGUUCGUCAGGGAAACCGGACCCGCCUCAGCCGGGAGCAGGUGGGAAGACAGAGGACCACUCUGACUCGAACCAGAAGGCACAGGGCAUGAUGGGGCUGGUGCGGCGGACACAGCUCUGCUCUUCCGAGACCUGAACCUGGGCACCUCCUCAUGGCUCAACUCUUUCCGGGAGCUGGGAAGGCACAGGUCUCACAGGAGCUCAAUGCUCAUGGCAGGCCUUGUGUAGAAGUGAUGGGACAUUGAGAUGAGGCCAUUAAGCAGUUCUCCAUCCUGGCUACACAUUAAAAGUAUCUGAUCACCCCAGGAUGACCCCUGACUGGUCCCCCUGGACAUCUCUGCAUUGUCAGCACCAGGAACCUCUUCUCAGUAUACAUGUCCAACAACCUCAUCAUCAGGGAAUGUCUGCAGAGUCUGGAUUGGGGGAAAGGAAUUCCAAACUUUUGAUGUGGUUCUCAAUGGCCCCAUUGCUCCUCCACAAGGGCCUCAAACAGGAAAAUGGCUAUACAUGUUCAGAGACUGAAUAAAAGAAAGAAAGACGGAUAACUGGGUGA
Non-coding RNA from Equus caballus (horse), 659 nucleotides. NCBI's taxonomy places the organism in Eukaryota, Metazoa, Chordata, Mammalia, Perissodactyla, Equidae. The record is from RefSeq and is a predicted model, not a curated record.